AUGAAAGAUAGCCACCUCUUUCUUGUAAGAAAAAUUGAAGAGAAAUGAAGCUCAAGAAUACCUCAAUGAAACGUUAAAAUUCCAUGAAGCCUUGUUCCAUUUGCACAAUGCAAGACUUUCAAAAACCUUUCCUUCUGAAAACUCUUCUUCCAAAGCUAAUCGACUAGACCCAUCCAAAGUCCUAAAAUUGAUAUCGUUCAGCUUAGUCCUCCAAGUUGAAUCAUCUUGGUAUAACUUGUCGAACUAAUUUCUAAUCUUCUUUCUCAAUUUCUCGUUCUUUUCCACAACUUGUCAUCAAUUUCCAUUUCCACAUAAUUAUUUCUUCUAUGAAUAUUGGCCAUGCAAUGAAAAUAACGUGUGUUCCAGUUCCCCUCCUUGAUCAACCGGGCUCUUGAUUUUUGCCUCCACGAAGCGUCCUCCAUUUAUAUUCUGGUAGCUAAUUCAAAUUUUAAGGAUUCUCUACGAGUCAAAUCUUCAGUGAACAAAACCUCCUCUACCAUUGCUCCCAUCUCCCAAUGCCACCAAUUUUGAUUUCCUAAAUUAAUAUUAGAGGCAGAAACCGCCUGGAAGCACAAUAAAAGACAUAUGAGAUUUAAUAAUGCACCUUCUCUAGUUCACAAAACAUUAAGGUAUCGUUUGCAAAAAAUACGUGGAUUACUUCCUCGGAAUGCUCACCUUCAUCCAUCUCGAGUCCUUUACAUAAACCCAACUUUCUAGCCCUUAAUAACAAUUUAUUUGAAGCUCCCAUGCAACUAUAAAUAGUAAAAAAGAUAAUAGAUCACAUUUUCUAAGACCUCUGGAUGCCCUAAAAAAGAAGAUAAACCCCUAUUCACCAUGACGGCAAAAGAAGUUGUGGUGAUGCAGAAAUUUAUCCACUUACAGCAUUUAUAUCCCAUGACCAAUCUCUUCAACAUAUAUCAAAUGGAGCAUCAAUUAGCAUGAUCAUAGGCUUUUUCCAUAAGAAGUUUACAUAGGAUCCUUUUUCUAUUCUAAAAAAUUAUAUCAUCCACAAUCUUAUUGGCCACCAGAACUGUAUCCAUAAUUUGUCUUCCUUCCACAAAAGCAUAUUGCACCCACCAACUUAUCCAUCGCCUCAACCAUUCUUCUAGCUAACACGCUUUAAAUGAUCUUGAAAACACUCUCGAUUAUGUUGAAAGGAAAAAAAUCCUUAAUACUAACCCCUUCCACUUUAAGAAUUAGUACCAAGAAAGAAGAGUUUAAAGAUUUCACAAAAGUCCUUGUCUCAUACGACUCUUCAAAUCGCUCUAUAAUAUCCUUUCCCAUUACAUGCCAGAGGCAAGAUAGGUAGGAAAGUGAUCAGAGAUAUUUGUAAUUCUUCCCAAGUAACCUUUUCUAAUAUUAUUAAACUAAAAAAUACUAAUACUAUUAAGAAUACGAAAGCCAAAUAUAAAAAAUAAUAACAAUAAAAUCUUAAAGUCACUAGAGGGAAGAUAAGAAGCUUCUAAAUAGUACAAUAGUUUUGCAGAAUUACAAUUUUAAUCUAUUUAGAAAUCUAAACUUAAUCCAUUCUGCAUCGAUAAUACCCUGCAUAGCUUUUUUUGGAGGGGAUGAUAAAGAGAUAAACAUUAACAUAUUUAAUCUAUACAUGCCUUUAUUUAUUUCUAUUCCUAUAAAAUUAACUUUUGUAUUGUAUCCCAUAUACAUCUUCUGCCAUGCUAUCAUAUUGUGAAUUAAAGAGCCAAUUUAUUCAUAAAUUGUACAUGUGAGAUGUCAGAAUAAGAGACUAGAGAGACUGAAUGAGAAUAAGGGGCUAGGAGUUUGAAGUAAAGUUUGUUAGUUUUAAUUAAGGAUUUUAAAUUCUUUUUUUUUUUUAAAUUAAAUAACUAAUUAGCAUGAAUAAAAUAAGAACUAUGUUUUCAGUGCAAAUCUAGAAUUUUUAACUUGAGAAAAUUAGUUUCAAUAUCAAUUAUGAUUUCACCAAUUUUGACUGCAUUUUUGGCCAGUUCAAGAUAUUUGCACCUAUCGCAUUUUAUUUUCUUUUUCAAUAGAGAAAGAAACUUUAUUAAAAUAGGAGAAAAAAAUUACAGAACCGGAGAAUAAGACAUCCUCCAAAAUAGAACAAAUAAAAAUAAGUGUAGGCACAGAAUGCUCCUCAUGGAUAGAGAGAGAGAAAUAUGUAUCCAAGGACUAUGUGCUAAGGACAAAAACGUCCCAGUUUCAUUGUAGAUUCAAGAUGCUUGUUUCGUGAUAUAGUAUUUUGUUGUUAGAGUGCUAUGAUCCAUACCAGGUAGCAUUAGCCGGUAAUUUAAGAUA
This 2274-nucleotide long non-coding RNA is filed under the name Carica papaya (papaya). RNAcentral's name for it is "long non-coding RNA (CPAP_LNC014726)". Lineage: Eukaryota; Viridiplantae; Streptophyta; Magnoliopsida; Brassicales; Caricaceae. The record is from RNAcentral.